UAUCUCCAACCAAUCUUGGUCUCAAGAAAGAGAAGCUAAGCCACCUCCACUUCUACUUCCAUGACAUAGUUAGCGGCCGAAACCCUUCUGCAAUUAAGGUCGUCCUACCACCCAAUAACGCCUCCAGUACGGGGUUUGGAAUGGUGGCGAUGAUCGAUGACCCCUUAACUGUAAAGCCCGAAAUCAGCUCAAAACUUGUAGGUAGAGCACAAGGGAUUUAUGCGUCUGCCUCGCAGAGUGAAGAUGGGUUGCUAAUGGUUAUGAACUUUGCUUUCAUGGAAGGCAAAUAUAACGGAAGUGGUCUCA
RNAcentral lists this unclassified non-coding RNA (306 nucleotides) under Hevea brasiliensis (rubber tree). The record is from RNAcentral. Lineage: Eukaryota; Viridiplantae; Streptophyta; Magnoliopsida; Malpighiales; Euphorbiaceae.